AAGGGUCUCCUCAGCAAAUAUGAUAGUCAUAUCAUUAGCGUCCAGGUUCAUUAGAGGCAGUCUCGGUUGUUUUAAACAGUUCAUGUACCUGAGCGGGUUUUCCCGAGAUUGGACUUAGCUAAAACGUUUGGUUCAAAACAUUUGCUUGCUGUCUUGGCAUAACAUCAAUAAAGGCAUAAACAUCGCAAAACAAUGGUUAUAUAUAAAUGGCUAUGAGGAUGGUUUUAGUACGUAGGCGUUGCGGAACUUCGGUUCAGAUAGAGCAAUGAAUCGUGCAUGCUAGGAAAACUGACCACACGCAGUGUUGGCAGCCCUAGUAUCUUUCGAUAGAUUUCCAUACCUCCGCGAUCAAAAAAAAAAAAAAAUAGCCAAAUGCCUCGUCAUCUAAUUAGUGACGCGCAUGAAUGGAUUAACGAGAUUCCUACUGUCCCUAUCUACUAUCUAGCGAAACCACAGCCAAGGGAACGGGCUUGGAAUAAUUAGCGGGGAAAGAAGACCCUUUUGAGCUUGACUCUAAUCUGGCAGUGUAAGGAGACAUAAGAGGUGUAGAAUAAGUGGGAGAUAUUAGACCUCGGUUUGGUAUCGUCAAUGAAAUACCACUACUCUUAUUGUUUCCUUACUUACUUGAUUAAAUGGAACGUGUAUCAUUUCCUAGCCAUUAUACGGAUAUAUUUAUUAUAUCUUAUGGUAUUGGGUUUUGAUGCAAGCUUCUUGAUCAAAGUAUCACGAGUUUGUUAUAUAAUCGCAAACAAAUUCUUUAAUAAAACGAUGCAUUUAUGUAUUUUUGAUUUGAAAAUUUGGUAUAACUCCAAUUACUCAGGUAUGAUCCAAUUCAAGGACAUUGCCAGGUAGGGAGUUUGACUGGGGCGGUACAUCUCUCAAUAAUAACGGAGUGUCCCAAGGCCAGCUCAGUGCGGACAGAACCACACAUAGAGCAAAGGCAAUGCUGACUGAUCUCGUGUUCAUACACACAGGGACAGCAAAGCUCGGCUAUCGAUCCUUUGUUAAAGAUUUUACAAAGGGUCAAAAGUAC
This 1033-nucleotide non-coding RNA is filed under the name Drosophila simulans. RNAcentral's name for it is "Eukaryotic large subunit ribosomal RNA". It matches the Rfam family "Eukaryotic large subunit ribosomal RNA", at positions 1943 to 2818 of the family's 3401-position model. The record is from Rfam by way of RNAcentral. Lineage: Eukaryota; Metazoa; Arthropoda; Insecta; Diptera; Drosophilidae.